UGGGGAAUAUUGCACAAUGGGGGAAACCCUGAUGCAGCGACGCCGCGUGGAGGAAGAAGGUCUUCGGAUUGUAAACUCCUGUUGUUGAGGAAGAUAAUGACGGUACUCAACAAGGAAGUGACGGCUAACUACGUGCCAGCAGCCGCGGUAAAACGUAGGUCACAAGCGUUGUCCGGAAUUACUGGGUGUAAAGGGAGCGCAGGCGGGAAGACAAGUUGGAAGUGAAAUCCAUGGGCUCAACCCAUGAACUGCUUUCAAAACUGUUUUUCUUGAGUAGUGCAGAGGUAGAUGGAAUUCCCGGUGUAGCGGUGGAAUGCGUAGAUAUCGGGAGGAACACCAGUGGCGAAGGCGGCCUACUGGGCACCAACUGACGCUGAGGCUCGAAAGUGUGGGUAGCAAACAGGAUUAGAUACCCUGGUAGUCCACACCGUAAACGAUGAUUACUAGGUGUUGGAGGAUUGACCCCUUCAGUGCCGCAGUUAACACAAUAAGUAAUCCACCUGGGGAGUACGACCGCAAGGUUGAAACUCAAAGGAAUUGACGGGGGCCCGCACAAGCAGUGGAGUAUGUGGUUUAAUUCGACGCAACGCGAAGAACCUUACCAAGUCUUGACAUCCCUUGACAGACAUAGAAAUAUGUAAUCUCUUCGGAGCAAGGAGACAGGUGGUGCAUGGUUGUCGUCAGCUCGUGUCGUGAGAUGUUGGGUUAAGUCCCGCAACGAGCGCAACCCUUAUGGUCAGUUACUACGCAAGAGGACUCUGGCCAGACUGCCGUUGACAAAACGGAGGAAGGUGGGGAUGACGUCAAAUCAUCAUGCCCUUUAUGACUUGGGCUACACACGUACUACAAUGGCGUUAAACAAAGAGAAGCAAGACCGCGAGGUGGAGCAAAACUCAGAAACAACGUCCCAGUUCGGACUGCAGGCUGCAACUCGCCUGCACGAAGUCGGAAUUGCUAGUAAUCGUGGAUCAGCAUGCCACGGUGAAUACGUUCCC
Molecule: ribosomal RNA, 995 nt
Filed under: uncultured organism
Description: bacterial SSU rRNA
Rfam family: Bacterial small subunit ribosomal RNA
Source: RNAcentral